RNAcentral lists this ribosomal RNA (440 nucleotides) under uncultured bacterium. RNAcentral's name for it is "bacterial SSU rRNA". It matches the Rfam family "Bacterial small subunit ribosomal RNA", at positions 338 to 791 of the family's 1533-position model. The record is from RNAcentral.
CCUACGGGGGGCUGCAAUUAGGAAUCUUGCGCAAUGGGGGCAACCCUGACGCAGCGACGCCGCGUGCGGGAUGACGGCAUUCGUGUCGUAAACCGCUUUUGAUGGGGAAGAAGAAUGUGACGGUACCCAUCGAAUAAGCCCCGGCUAACUACGUGCCAGCAGCCGCGGUAAUACGUAGGGGGCGAGCGUUGUCCGAAGUUACUGGGCGUAAAGCGCGCGUAGGCGGCUUUCUAAGUCUGGUGUGAAAGGUUCAGGGCUCAACCCGAACAGUGCACUGGAUACUGGGGAGCUUGAGUGCGGGAGAGGAGAGUGGAAUUCCUGGUGUAGCGGUGAAAUGCGUAGAUAUCAGGAGGAACACCCGUGGCGAAGGCGGCUCUCUGGCCUGCAACUGACGCUGAGGCGCGAAAGCGUGGGGAGCGAACGGGAUUAGAUACCCCGGU